Pogona vitticeps (central bearded dragon) is the source of this 164-nucleotide small nuclear RNA. Its record names the gene U1. It matches the Rfam family "U1 spliceosomal RNA". Rfam says of the family: U1 is a small nuclear RNA (snRNA) component of the spliceosome (involved in pre-mRNA splicing). Lineage: Eukaryota; Metazoa; Chordata; Lepidosauria; Squamata; Agamidae. The record is from Ensembl.
ACUUAUACCUGGCAGAGGAGAUACCAUGAUCAUGAAAGUGGUUUUCCCAGGGUAAGGCUCAUCCAUUGCACUUUGGGUGUGCUGAUCCCUGUGAUUUCCUCAAAUAUGGGAAAAUCAGCUGCCUAAUUUGUGGUAGUGGGGGACUGCGUUUGUGGUUUUCCCUG